CCUUAAGAUACCUCAUUUUUUGUAUGUCAUCAUCAUAUUUUGGAUGUUUGUCUAUGUACCUUGUCCUUAUAGGUCUUCUUUUGUAAAGGACAGAUAUUUUAAUAUAAUAUAAAAACUUUGCUUAUCAAUAACAUGUUAUGAUUUUUGUAAAAUGAAUAAGCACACUCUAGAUUAAAUUAUUGAAUGAGUGAUUGGUUGACUUAUACUUGUUUAAGAUAUGCUGAUAAAUAAAUGAACUUAAUUAUAAUACUAAUGGGAAGAAAAUUUUGUUAACAUUUUUAAUUAUGACAAAAAAGAGGGGAAAUUAGAAGAGAAAGAGAAAUGUCAAAAAGGGAGGAAUCAAGAGCAAAUUCAAUUGUUUUUAAAAAAUAUUGCUUAUCUAAUAAGAAAAGAAGAGUUUUAGUUAAAACUUAUUCAAAUUUAAUGAAUGCUUGAUCUUUAUUAUUAAGAUAUUUUGUUUCAAAAUUUUAAAAGUCUAUUGGUAUUGGAAAAGUAAUACUCAAAGAUUUUUAUCAUCAUCCAAAAGAGAAGAUUAUUAAUCCUAAAAUUGAUUUUGAUAAUGUCAAAAGAGUUUGAGUAUAAAUUAUUGUUACUAAUGAUGCUUUUGAAAGUGAUUAUAGAAUUUUUUGUAAUGCUCAAUAGUUGAUCUUGUUCAAGAAGAAAUCUUCUUUAAUUUGAGCUAAUUCAUAUUUCGAAAAUCAAAAUUUCAAAUUAUGGAAGAAAUCAACAUAAAAAGAAUUUGAUAAAAAAAAGUCUAGCCUAGAAAGAUUUCUCAACUAGUCUUUCUAUUCAAAAAUUUAUUUUGAGAAGGCAAGUCUAACCUAGAAUAUAUGUUGUCCUGAGAGAUAGCAAUCAGAGAGGGG
Molecule: long non-coding RNA, 863 nt
Filed under: Elaeis guineensis (African oil palm)
Lineage: Eukaryota; Viridiplantae; Streptophyta; Magnoliopsida; Arecales; Arecaceae
Description: long non-coding RNA (EGUI_LNC059228)
Source: RNAcentral